Molecule: ribosomal RNA, 329 nt
Filed under: uncultured eukaryote
Lineage: Eukaryota
Description: partial 18S ribosomal RNA
Rfam family: Eukaryotic small subunit ribosomal RNA
Source: RNAcentral
CCCUUAGAUGUUCUGGGCCGCACGCGCGCUACACUGUUUGAUUCAGCGAGUCUUAACCUUGACCGAAAGGUUUGGGUAAUCUUCUAAAGUCAAACGUGAUGGGGAUCGAUCAUUGCAAUUAUUGAUCGUGAUCGAGGAAUUCCUAGUAAAUGCAAGUCAUCAGCUUGCGUUGAUUACGUCCCUGCCCUUUGUACACACCGCCCGUCGCUACUACCGAUUGAAUGGUUUAGUGAGAUCUCCGGAUUGGCUCUGUAGGUCCCGCAAGGGAUUUAUUAGUAGCCAAGAAGCUGCUCAAACUUGAUCAUUUAGAGGAAGUAAAAGUCGUAACA